AUUAUUUUGGGUGAUUUUAAUAUCCACGUCCGCUGCCCUCUGAAACCACCGGUGAGGGACUUUAUGAAUAUUUUAGACUCAUUUGGACUACAGCAGUUGGUAAACGUUCCCACACAUGCUGACUCGCACACCCUGGAUUCGGUUUUAUCUUUUGGACUGGAUGUGCAUGAUUUAUCUGUGGAUCCUGUGGCGUUUUCCGACCAUGCUGUGAUCACGUUCAGCAUCUCACGUCUCCUUCCUCCAGCCCGGCGACGGUCUGCUCGUUACUCCUGGCGCUUAUCUCCGAGUACGACUUCCAUCUUUCUGUCGGUUUUGGACACUGAUGCCCUCGCUCCGCCCUUGUCGGUUUCCUGCAUGGAUGUAGGUGGCCUUCUGCAUCGGUUCAGUGUGACCUGCUCUGCUGCUCUGGACGCUGUUGCCCCUCUGAGACCGAGGUGGAAUCAGACAACAUCUGACCCUUGGCUUAAUGAUGACACCCGUAGCCUCAGGCGACAGUGUAGGGUGCUGGAACGGAGGUGGAGGAGAGACAGACUGUCAUGCUCUCGGCUGCUCCUGGUUGAUGCACUUUCACGCUACCAGAGAACAGUUAGAUCUGCUCGUAACAUCUACUUUUCUGCUAUCAUUUCACAGCAUCAUGGAGACCAGUCCAGGCUGUACAGCACAGUUAACUCCCUGCUUCUGUUAAAUGAGUCUGAUGGUCUAAAUCCCACUGUUGCUUUAUGCACAGAGCUACAGAGCUUUUUCCUCAACAAGAUCCUUGGUAUUAGGCUUAGCCUCCAGCCUCAAAUACACACUAUCCACAUGGAACCGCCUGACCCACCUGCCUUCUCAGACUUUGCUCCAGUUCAGCUUGCUGACUUGAUGAAACUGAUUAGCUCCAUGAAGCCAGCUGGCUCUUCGGUGAACUGCCUCCCGGCUAAAUUGGUGCGUGACUCGGUGUCUGCGCUGAGCCCGGCACUCAUGAACAUUUUUAACAUUAGCCUCAGCACUGGAGUGUUCCCUAAGGUUUUUAAAGAUGCGGUUGUUCAGCCGAUAUUGAAGAAACCUGGUCUGGAUCACUCCACUUAUGAGCACUUUCGCCCUAUUUCGAAAGUCCCGUUUCUCUCGAAGGUCCUUGAGAAAAUUGUGCAUGGCCAGAUCUCUGCUCAUAUGAAUAGCAACUCGUUGCUGGAUGUAUUUCAGUCAGCCUUUAGACCAAACCAUAGCACUGAGUCUGCUUUGAUUAGGGUGCUAAAUAACAUUCUGGUGGCAUCCGACUCUGGGUCUAGGGUACUGCUGCUCCAGCUGGACCUUUCAGCGGCUUUUGAUACGGUCGAUCACCAUAUUUUACUGGAUCGGCUUGGGUCUUGGGUUGGGGUGACGGGGGUGGCGCUUAAAUGGUUCCGCUCCUACCUAUCAAUCCUUACCAUCUCUGUACAGAUUGGUGACUGUGCAUCCUCCUGCUUCCACUGCCUUGGGGGGUGCCACAGGGUUCCGUUCUUGGGCCAUUGCUGUUUUCAAUCUACCUUCUGCCUCUGGGCAACAUCCUGAAUCAGCAUGGCCUGAGCUACCACAUCUACGCUGAUGACUGUCAGCUGUACGUGGAAAUGGACGAGAAGAAUGCGGGCUCGUGAUUGGCUGCAUGUUUAGAUGACGUGAAGGGCUGGCUGGCAUCCAACUUCUUAAAGUUAAAUGAAAAGAAGUCUGAGUUUAUUGUUUUUGACCCCCGCAACCACCAUGGCUCUCACCCUGUUUGUGACCUUUUAACCCUUAACCCCAAACAGUGUGUGACGAGUCUCGGGGUCAAGCUGGAUGCUGGACUCACAAUGGCCCCACAGAUAAACUCUGUAGUGAGGUCGUGUUUUUAUCAGCUUCGCCGCCUUACUCACCUCAGACGAAUCCUGAAACGGAGGCAUUUGGAGUCAGUCAUUCAUGCAUUCAUUACCUCUCNNNNNNNNNNNNNNNNNNNNNNN
RNAcentral lists this long non-coding RNA (1952 nucleotides) under Nothobranchius furzeri (turquoise killifish). Its description in RNAcentral is "lncRNA (ENSNFUG00015014895.1)". Lineage: Eukaryota; Metazoa; Chordata; Actinopteri; Cyprinodontiformes; Nothobranchiidae. The record is from RNAcentral.